Molecule: small nuclear RNA, 22 nt
Filed under: Arabidopsis thaliana (thale cress)
Lineage: Eukaryota; Viridiplantae; Streptophyta; Magnoliopsida; Brassicales; Brassicaceae
Description: snRNA_02441
Source: RNAcentral
UCCUGGGAUAAUCUAAAGAUAU